AUAAGAUCCGUAGUCGAAAGGGAAACAGCCCAGACCACCAGUUAAGGUCCCCAAAUAUAUGUUAAGUGGAAAAGGAUGUGGGGUUGCUUAGACAACCAGGAUGUUGGCUUAGAAGCAGCCACCAUUGAAAGAGUGCGUAAUAGCUCACUGGUCGAGUGACCCCGCGCCGAAAAUGUACCGGGGCUAAACAUAUUACCGAAACUGUGGAUGAACCUCUUUAGAGGUUCGUGGUAGGAGAGCGUUCUAAGGGCGGUGAAGUCAGACCGGAAGGACUGGUGGAGCGCUUAGAAGUGAGAAUGCCGGUAUGAGUAGCGAAAGAAGGGUGAGAAUCCCUUCCACCGAAUAUCUAAGGUUUCCUGAGGAAGGCUCGUCCGCUCAGGGUUAGUCGGGACCUAAGCCGAGGCCGAUAGGCGUAGGCGAUGGACAACAGGUAGAGAUUCCUGUACCAGUGCUAAUUGUUUAACCGAUGGGGUGACACAGAAGGAUAGGGAAUCGCACGAAUGGAAAUGUGCGUCCAAGCAGUGAGUGUGAGAAGUAGGCAAAUCCGCUUCUCGCGAAGCAUGAGCUGUGAUGGGGAAGGAAAUUAAGUACGGAAGUUCCUGAUUUCACGCUGUCAAGAAAAGCCUCUAGGAAGAGUAGUACUGCCCGUACCGCAAACCGACACAGGUAGAUGAGGAGAGAAUCCUAAGGUGAGCGAGAGAACUCUCGUUAAGGAACUCGGCAAAAUGACCCCGUAACUUCGGGAGAAGGGGUGCUCUAUUAGGGUGCAAGCCCGAGAGAGCCGCAGUGAAUAGGCCCAGGCGACUGUUUAGCAAAAACACAGGUCUCUGCAAAACCGUAAGGUGACGUAUAGGGGCUGACGCCUGCCCGGUGCUGGAAGGUUAAGAGGAGUGCUUAGCUUCGGCGAAGGUACGAAUUGAAGCCCCAGUAAACGGCGGCCGUAACUAUAACGGUCCUAAGGUAGCGAAAUUCCUUGUCGGGUAAGUUCCGACCCGCACGAAAGGCGCAACGAUCUGGGCACUGUCUCAACGAGAGACUCGGUGAAAUUAUAGUACCUGUGAAGAUGCAGGUUACCCGCGACAGGACGGAAAGACCCCGUGGAGCUUUACUGCAACCUGAUAUGGAAUGUUUGUACCGCUUGUACAGGAUAGGUAGGAGCCGAAGAGACGUGUGCGCUAGCAUACGAGGAGGCAAUGGUGGGAUACUACCCUGGCUGUAUGACCAUUCUAACCCGCCACGCUUAGCGCGUGGGGAGACAGUGUCAGGUGGGCAGUUUGACUGGGGCGGUCGCCUCCUAAAGAGUAACGGAGGCGCCCAAAGGUUCCCUCAGAAUGGAUGGAAAUCAUUCGCAGAGUGUAAAGGCACAAGGGAGCUUGACUGCGAGACUGACAAGUCGAGCAGGGACGAAAGUCGGGCUUAGUGAUCCGGUGGUUCCGCAUGGAAGGGCCAUCGCUCAACGGAUAAAAGCUACCCCGGGGAUAACAGGCUUAUCUCCCCCAAGAGUCCACAUCGACGGGGAGGUUUGGCACCUCGAUGUCGGCUC
Molecule: ribosomal RNA, 1543 nt
Filed under: Listeria monocytogenes
Lineage: Bacteria; Bacillati; Bacillota; Bacilli; Caryophanales; Listeriaceae
Description: partial 23S ribosomal RNA
Rfam family: Bacterial large subunit ribosomal RNA
Source: RNAcentral